CGUAUUUCACUUCACCUUAAAAUAAUGCAUUUAAAAUUGUUCAACUGGUUUCCUUUAGCAAUUCGUUUAUUUAUAUUGCCGAGGAUGGAAAAGCGAGGGUCUGCCAAGACGGAAGAGACACCUGGGGAGAUGGCGAAGAAACAAAAUGGCCGCCAUUGGACGGAUCGCUUCUAUCAGAGAGAUGGAAUUAACGAUCGGGUGCAUUCGAUGGAAUCAUGACACUUCCUGCGAUUGGAUGACGAUUGACAUCGAUUGGCAGAGAUCGAGUCCAAGUGACAGGAGUCGUGUCGGUCUAGGUAUCACUGUAGCGGUUAAUUUCGUUUGACUCUAGUUGAAAGACGAUCAUAGUACGUAGCGACGAGUCGACGGAGGUCGAAUGUCGCACUAUAAAUAAACCGGAUCGAUCGAUCAGCGAUGGAAAUCGUCAACAAGCACCGAGAGGCGUCCAGGCGUCGGGACGCCACCUCCCGUGGACAGGGCCGUUGCUUGUCGGGUGAGGAGCAGCUGUUACCAUCCGAGAAUCCCUCUUUCUCGCUCACGCAUGCGCGCAUACAGCGACAACUUCCGGCCUUAGCAAGAAACCCCGCGGAGCGUCUCGGCGCUGAAUUUAUUUCGGGCUCGAUACAACUGCAAGAAGAAACACCACGUGUACCGACGUACCAAUGACACGAUAAAGUUGAGAGAGAGAGAGAGAGAGAUAGAGAGAGAUACGAACAGUCGCAUUCGCCGGCCCCCUGCAUCGUUUAAUGCACUAAGCAGACGCUUUACAUAACCUAACUUCUCGUUAUCUCAAAAGGAACGUCCACAUAUCUGACGCAAAGGAAUUCUACAUGGAAAUAAAUAGUAAAUUAUGAAAGAUUUGUAUGAGACAUGGAAAUAAAAUUAAAAAAUUAAGAAGUAA
This 901-nucleotide long non-coding RNA is filed under the name Orussus abietinus. RNAcentral's name for it is "uncharacterized LOC105699829, transcript variant X2". Lineage: Eukaryota; Metazoa; Arthropoda; Insecta; Hymenoptera; Orussidae. The record is from RNAcentral.